AUUGAACGCUGGCGGCAUGCUUUACACAUGCAAGUCGAACGGCAGCACAGAAGAGCUUGCUCUUUGGGUGGUGAGUGGCGGACGGGUGAGUAACACGUAGGAAUCUACCCAGUAGUGGGGGAUAACCUGGGGAAACCCAGGCUAAUACCGCAUACGCCCUGAGGGGGAAAGCGGGGGAUCUUCGGACCUCGCGCUAUUGGAUGAGCCUGCGUCGGAUUAGCUAGUUGGUGGGGUAAGGGCCCACCAAGGCGACGAUCCGUAGCUGGUCUGAGAGGAUGACCAGUCACACCGGAACUGAGACACGGUCCGGACUCCUACGGGAGGCAGCAGUGGGGAAUAUUGGACAAUGGGCGCAAGCCUGAUCCAGCCAUGCCGCGUGGGUGAAGAAGGCCUCGGUUGUAAGCCUUAGUG
This 411-nucleotide ribosomal RNA is filed under the name uncultured bacterium. RNAcentral describes it as "bacterial SSU rRNA". It matches the Rfam family "Bacterial small subunit ribosomal RNA", at positions 30 to 438 of the family's 1533-position model. The record is from RNAcentral.